RNAcentral lists this ribosomal RNA (252 nucleotides) under uncultured bacterium. RNAcentral describes it as "partial 16S ribosomal RNA". It matches the Rfam family "Bacterial small subunit ribosomal RNA", at positions 524 to 776 of the family's 1533-position model. The record is from RNAcentral.
UACGUAGGGCGCAAGCGUUGUCCGGAAUUAUUGGGCGUAAAGAGCGUGUAGGCGGUUCGGUAGGUCCGUUGUGAAAACUCGAGCUCAACCUCGAGACGCCGAUGGAAACCCUCGAACUAGAGUCCGGAAGAGGAGAAUGGAAUUCCUGGUGUAGCGGUGAAAUGCGCAGAUAUCAGGAAGAACACCCGUGGCUAAGGCGGUUCUCUAGUACGGUACUGACGCUGAGACGCGAAAGCGUGGGGAGCGAACAGG